GAUGAAGAACGUAGCGAAAUGCGAUAAGUAAUGUGAAUUGCAGAAUUCAGUGAAUCAUCGAAUCUUUGAACGCACAUUGCGCCCGGUAGUAUUCUGCCGGGCAUGCCUGUUCGAGCGUCAUUUCAACCAUCAAGCCCCAGCGCUUGUGUUGGGGGCCUGCGGCUGCCGCAGCCCCCUAAAAGCAGUGGCGGGCUCGCUGUCACACCGAGUGCAGUAGUUCAUCUUCUCUCCGGUCUUGUGAGGCGGGUUCCGGCCGUGAAACACCCCACUACAUUCAAGGUUGACCUCGGAUCAGGUAGGAAUACCCGCUGAACUUAAGCAUAUCAAUAAGCGGAGGA
RNAcentral lists this unclassified non-coding RNA (338 nucleotides) under soil metagenome. RNAcentral's name for it is "partial contains 5.8S ribosomal RNA, internal transcribed spacer 2, and large subunit ribosomal RNA". The stretch from base 1 to 120 matches the Rfam family "5.8S ribosomal RNA", at positions 35 to 154 of the family's 154-position model. The record is from RNAcentral.